GGUUGACCUCGGAUCAGGUAGGAGUUACCCGCUGAACUUAAGCAUAUCAAUAAGCGGAGGAAAAGAAACCAACAGGGAUUGCCUCAGUAACGGCGAGUGAAGCGGCAAGAGCUCAAAUUUGAAAUCUGGCCUCUUGGGGUCCGAGUUGUAAUUUGCAGAGGAUGCUUCGGGAGCGGUCCCCAUCUAAGUGCCCUGGAACGGGACGUCAUAGAGGGUGAGAAU
This 222-nucleotide ribosomal RNA is filed under the name Talaromyces pittii. Its description in RNAcentral is "partial 28S ribosomal RNA". It matches the Rfam family "Eukaryotic large subunit ribosomal RNA", at positions 1 to 219 of the family's 3401-position model. Lineage: Eukaryota; Fungi; Ascomycota; Eurotiomycetes; Eurotiales; Trichocomaceae. The record is from RNAcentral.